UUUCUUAUUCCAGCACCUUCCAUUCCUAUUGCCGACUCAACUCCACUAAAACACUGCAAUAUAUACAUUCCACUAACCACAACAACUCCACUUCACUUCCAUUUCCUUGCCUUGGUAUCAUCGACGAGAGUAAGAAAGAGGGAGCCGGAUUCUUUGCUCUGUUCUUUUCUGUUCGUGAGCUAAAGAAAAAAAAGAGUGAGACCUGCUGUUCUGUAUCCAUUCCAUCCAUGAGCUGGGGAGGAGUUUGAGUGCCAAACUUCCUUCAUCUUAGUUGCGAGCUUGAGCAAGAGAGAGGAAGAGCUAGCGGGCUGCAUUUUGGACUGCCGAGAGGAGAGAAAUAACUUCAGCUGCCAGUCGCGGGUAUCAAGCCUAAGCUGAGGUAAUAUUCUGGACUGAAACUGACUGAUCAAGGGUAGAUUAAGCUAUCUAUGGACUUGCAUGUGAUGCUUGUGAGGUUGGAUGAAGAAUUAAGAUUUAAGAAAUCUGGUUUGGAAAGAAGUGAAGUUGCCGAGAGCUUGAGCUGGAAAUUUCAGUUUCAAUUUGUUAAUUUAUGACAAUCUGAGCUUAGUUAUGUGUUUAGCUAGAUAGAAACUAGAUGAUUAUGCUAUACGUGAGGGUAAUCAGUUCGGAUUGAGCAAGAAAGAAAAAAAUGAAACAGAAAUCUGAAUGCAUGCAUGUCAACCGAGAGAAUUUGGUUGAAAUUCUGGUUAGAUGGUGAUAUUUGAUGACAUUUGAACUUGGUCUUGGACCCAAUCUGAUAGAUAGUUUGUUAUUUGGUGUUGCAUGUGAACUUUGUGGCCAGAAAUCCAGUUGCAUGGCUGGAAAUUUUUAUUGGAAACGGUUUGACUGCUGAAUCAAUUUUCCAGCUUAGCCGAUGGAGUAUUUUUGGAAGUUGUAUGGAUAUUUUGGUGUGAAAUUUGCUAGAAAGUGCUUGAUUCUCACUUGGCUGUGUGUUUAACUAACUAGAAUCUGGAUGAUUAAGUUGUGCAUGGGGUUAAUUAGCAUUGAUUAAGUCAGAAAAUUUAAAAGAUACAAAAUCAGGUUACAUGCAAGCUAACCGAGAGCAGGAUUGAUUGAAUUUCUGGUUGGUUAGUGUUUUGAUGUUAUCCGAACUUGUUUAUGGAUCAAAGCUGGUAGAUAACUGAUUUUUGGGUCAUGCAUGUAGCUGUUGAACCGUGAUAAAAAAAAAAAAAAAAAAAAGAAAAGGAAUCUGAAAUUGCGGCCGAGAGAAAGAGUUGAGCAUUUGAUUAGUUUUCUUCGAGUUUGUAGCUGAGACUUUCAUAUUGGAUGCUUAAGAUCUGCUUAUAACCUACUAAUCACCUUUUGCAUGUUGGGUUGGAGUAAAAAUUGGAGAAAACUAUGGACAAAAGCUCUAUAAAUGAACAACUAUAUUGCUGGAAAUUGGAUUUGAUAGCUGGCCGAAUUAAUUGAGGUUUUUGAGUGAGAUUAUUUUCUGACUUUGUGUGUUAUUUGUUCUAGUUUGGGUUGGUCAGAUUAUAAGCUAUAUGUUUAGUGUCUCCAACAAGUAAAAGAUGGAGAUUUAAUAGAUACUUUGAAUUGAUUUGCUGGAAUUUUUCUUGGUUGGCGAAACCAGGGUAAAAUCUGAGUCUUUGGAGGAUUUUUGAGCUAAGCUAGUUGUGAUUUCCUUUUAUGUUUGAGUUGAAUUCUAACUGAUUGGUUGUAAGAAAUAUUUGUUUGAUGCUAAGAGCUAAUGAUUGAUGAAGCUCUUGGCCAUUUGAGUAGCUUUUGCAAGAAUUUAAUUUUUGGUGAAUUUGUUCAAGUGGUUGGCUAAAGAGUACUUGGAAGGUCUAUGGUUUGUGAUUUAGAAUCUGUCUUGAUACCUUGGACUUCCUUUGUUGAAUUUUGGUUGCACUGGAAUCUGUUGAGACCUAGGGCUAAUGAUUGAUGAAGCCCUAGUGAAAUUUAUAUGUGAAUUGUGUGUUAGCUAUAAUGGCAACUUGAAGUACAUUGUGCAAAUAAAUUUGAAUCUGAAAUCCGUUUUAAUCUUUUAAAUUCAAGUAUCUUUAAAUCAAGCUUUAUGGGUAUAGUUUGGUUUAAUAUCAAGUUAUAGAGAUUGAAAAUAGCAUGUUAAUAUCCAAAUUUAAAUGACAGGACUUGUAAAACCUUGCCGACUAAUUAUUCAUGUCAAAAUUUUAAGUUUUCAUAAAAUUGUCCUUAAUUAGUUGUUUUAGAGAAAACUUGUUAAAAACACUAGAUUUGAAUAAUUCCAAAUAAAAGACAUAGAAAAUUUGUUCGGCAAGAAACUUUGUUUAAACUAAUUUGGCUCUAGUUUGCUUCUAGAAGGGAAAAAUCUUUAAAAAGAAACCACACGAAACAUUUUAUUCCUUUUCCAGUUUUAAUUUUUAAGAGAAAGUUAUUGAUUUGUUUCGAGGAAUUAAGCUAGUUUUAUACAAAAUAAUCUUUAUAUAUUUAAAUCAAGAGUUGGUUUAGUAAAACUUAUAAUUUUUAAAACUUGAAUUUCUAGGGUUUAAUGAGGACGUGGACUAUGAUUCCCAGCUUGACUUUUGAGCUUGACUUUUGGUGAGUGUCCCUGCUUGUUUUAUGACUAUUUGGUUACAGUGCUUUCUUGACUCGAUAUAUGAUAAUUGCAAAGUGGUUUUUGAUCCAUCGAAGUGAGCAGUGUGUACUUUAUCACACUAGCCGUUCGAGUGGUGACUUGUGUGAAAUGUUUUCGUGAAUAUCUCAAGUGUUGUGACGUCGUUGGGUAAAUCCCACGACUAGUUUGUGACGUCGUUGGGUAAAUCCCUCGACUAGUUCGUGACGUCGUUGGGUGAAUCUCUCGACUAGUUUAUCCAAAGGGUAUACUCGAGUAUUACUGCUUUCUUAUUUGGGGUUCGGGCCCGGAACAGGGGUAUGAUUGGUGUCGGAGUUAAGAAAAAGAAAAAGAGCUACAUGGACCCUAAGUAGUGAGAGUUGACGGAGUGUCGACUACGGUGAGAGCCCCUGUAUCCUACCUUGUGCUGUUAUACGCUUUCCUAUUUGUUUAUUUCAACUGAAAUCAAUACGUGUUAUUUGUUUUAUUUGAUUGCAUGUUUUGGGGCACCACUGAGCUUUAGCUCACCCCACGUUUGUUUGUUUUCCUUGACAGGUCUUGACGUUUGAGAAAUCUGAGCCUACUUAUAUUUGCUUAUGAAUGUAUUUGAACCUUAUGUCUUUGAUUUGCAGUUUGUAAUGAAAUUCGAAUAAAACAAUGUACUUUUGUCUUGGGUUACCACUUGAAGUUGGAAAAGUGUAAACCCUGGAUUUGUUAUUUGGCUUGUACUAAUGUAUUUGGGUUGUAUGUUUUUGUUGCCUGGUUUGUAACGCGUGAGGUAUUUAAGAGUCGACGAUUGGCUAUCUUAUAAAUGUUGUUAUCUUUGAAGUUAAUGAGGAUUUAGUUAUCAGUCUAUUUGGAAGGAAACGGUGUUGUAAUAGCUUAGGUUAUUCUUCGGGAGGAUUUGGGCUAGAUUGCUUGCG
Molecule: long non-coding RNA, 3477 nt
Filed under: Coffea arabica (coffee)
Lineage: Eukaryota; Viridiplantae; Streptophyta; Magnoliopsida; Gentianales; Rubiaceae
Description: long non-coding RNA (CARA_LNC000534)
Source: RNAcentral